This 253-nucleotide ribosomal RNA is filed under the name uncultured bacterium. Its description in RNAcentral is "partial 16S ribosomal RNA". It matches the Rfam family "Bacterial small subunit ribosomal RNA", at positions 524 to 776 of the family's 1533-position model. The record is from RNAcentral.
UACGGAGGCUCCAAGCGUUAUCCGGAUUUAUUGGGUUUAAAGGGUGCGUAGGCGGAAUUGUAAGUCAGUGGUGAAAUCCUACAGCUUAACUGUAGAACUGCCAUUGAUACUGCAAAUCUUGAGUACAUUUGAUGUGGGCGGAAUGUGUCAUGUAGCGGUGAAAUGCUUAGAUAUGACACAGAACACCGAUUGCGAAGGCAGCUCACAAAACUGUAACUGACGCUGAGGCACGAAAGCGUGGGUAUCAAACAGG